AUUAGAUGAGCCUAUAUUAGAUUAGCUAGUUGGUGGAGUAAUAGCCUACCAAGGCAAUGAUCUAUAGCUGAUCUGAGAGGAUGAUCAGCCACACUGGAACUGAGAUACGGUCCAGACUCCUACGGGAGGCAGCAGUGGGGAAUAUUGGACAAUGGGCGAAAGCCUGAUCCAGCUAUGCCGCAUGAGUGAAGAAGGCCUUUGGGUUGUAAAGCUCUUUUAGUGAGGAAGAUAAUGACGGUACUCACAGAAGAAGUCCUGGCUAACUCCGUGCCAGCAGCCGCGGUAAUACGGAGAGGGCUAGCGUUAUUCGGAAUUAUUGGGCGUAAAGGGCGCGUAGGCUGAUUAAUAAGUUAAAAGUGAAAUCCCGAGGCUUAACCUUGGAAUUGCUUUUAAAACUAUUAAUCUAGAGAUUGAAAGAGGAUAGAGGAAUUCCUGAUGUAGAGGUAAAAUUCGUAAAUAUUAGGAGGAACACCAGUGGCGAAGGCGUCUAUCUGGUUCAAAUCUGACGCUGAGGCGCGAAGGCGUGGGGAGCAAACAGGAUUAGAUACCCUGGUAGUCCAUGCUAUAAACGAUGAAUGUUAAAUAUGGGAAG
RNAcentral lists this ribosomal RNA (592 nucleotides) under Wolbachia endosymbiont of Bemisia tabaci. Its description in RNAcentral is "bacterial SSU rRNA". It matches the Rfam family "Bacterial small subunit ribosomal RNA", at positions 220 to 829 of the family's 1533-position model. The record is from RNAcentral. Lineage: Bacteria; Pseudomonadati; Pseudomonadota; Alphaproteobacteria; Rickettsiales; Anaplasmataceae.